CUGCAUUGUUCCUGCCUCCUGCACAUGCCAGGGAAUGGACAGCAGGCAUUCUGGGAGGGUGAGGGUUGAGCUGUGGAAAAGGGUUGGGGAAAAAAAAGUAGUUCAGGAGUCAGAAAAUAGUUCACAAAUCUAAAAUUCCAUUCAGAGCUGCUUCUAAACACCGUCAUAGCAAAAAGUGUGGUAAGUUCUUUGUUUUCCUUCCCCAAAUGGAAUCGUUUUUUUCUUUUCCUUUUUUUUUUUUUUUUUUUGAGACGGAGUCUCACUCUGUCACCCAGGCUGGAGUGCAGUGGCGCUAUCUCAGCUUACUGCAACCCCUGCCUCCCGGGUUCAAAUGAUUCUCCUGCCUCAGCCUCCCAAGUAGCUGGGAUUACAGGUGUGCACCACCAUGCCUGGCUAAUUUUUGUAUUUUUAGUAGAGACAGGGGUUCACCAUGUUGGCCAGGCUGGUCUUGAACUCCUGACCUCAAGUGAUCCACCCCCCUUGGGCUCUUAAAGUGCUGGGAUUACAGGCGUGAGCCACCGUGCCCAGCCGGAUUUCAAAAAUAAUAUCUGUCAUUCCAAAAUAGUACUUAGGUGAUCAUUUUUCUUUCCCCCCAAAUAGUAUGACUGUUUAGUUUUAGAUCUUUUUCUCAUCCCUCAAAUAUAAAGAGCCUAGAAAUUUCUCUUGCUCCAUCAAUUCCAUUGAGAAAUAUUUCCUGGUAGCCACAAAGAUUAGAAAAAAAUACAGAAAAAAAAGAAAAAAUAUAGAAAGAAUAUUUUGACAAAGAAAUAUUUUGACUCUUGGAGGGAAUUUCUAACUCUUCUUACUUUAAUUUUAUAUAUUUAAGAUUAGAAGCAAAACAAAACAAAUGAACAAUAACCAAAAAUAAGCCCAAAACUAACCUUUUCCAAACUCUUAAAUACUGGGUUUCAAAACACAGUGUGGAGGAUGGUUACUUGAGUGGGUUUGGGUCACAUUGGAGUCCUGAUUCUGACCUUAAUCUAUCUUUCUUUCUUUUUUCUUUUCUUUUCUAUUUUUUUUGAAAUGGAGUUUCGCUCUUGUUGCCCAGGCUGGAGUGCAAUGGUGUGAUCUCGGUUCACUGCAACCCCUGUCUCCCGGGUUUGAGUGAUUCUCCUGCCUCAGCCUCCCGAGUAGCUGGGAUUACAGGUAUGCGCCACCACGUCCGGCUAAUUUUUGUAUUUUUAGUAGAGACGUGGUUUCACCAUGUUGGCCAGGCUGGUUUCGAACUCCUAACCUCAGGCAAUCCACCUGCCUUAGCCUCCCAAAGUGCUGGGAUUACAGGCGUGAGCCACUGCACCUGACCAAGAUCCUUAAUUUUUCUAAACCUACGUUUAUCAUCUAUAAAAUGAGCCAUCUUUUCACAUGGCUCUCAUAAGGAUUAAAUGCAAUCUUGUUUAAAGCACGUUGUAUAAAAUUUAUCUUAGCUAUUAUAGUAAGAAGUACAAAAGUGAAGGAAAGUAAUAAUCUUUGCGGGGGGGUCUAUGUGUAAGAAACCUCUCAGGAAGGAGCAGAACUGAACCAAGUGCUGAGGCAGAACCUCUGCUCUACAAAUAGCAUUUUUUUUCUUUUUAGCAAAUUGCAGAAGGAUAUGAUUCCUAACUUCCUGCAGGCUGAUUCAGUCCCAUGCCAGGGCACACGGCCGGUGAGUGGGCAGCUGCCCUAUUAAGGACUCAGCAAAGGAAUGAUUACUUUGGGGAACUGUCAAAUACGGAAAGCUAUUCGGAAGGCCCACAUGGAGAUGGCUGUUUCCUAAAUCACAGUUUCCCCAAUGUUUUCUAUUCCUCUGUGCUCUGAGGUGAUAACUUUUUCCUUUUUUUUCUCUUAUUUUUGUCUCUCUCAUUUUAUUUUAUUUUGUUUUAUUUUUGAGACAGAGUCUUGCUCUGUUGCUCAGGCUGGAGUGCAGUGGUGCAAUCUUGGCUCACGGCAACCUCCGCCUCUUGGGUUCAAGUGAUUCUCCUGCCUCAGCCUUCUGAGUAGCUGGGAUUACAGGCGCCUGCCACCACACCCAGCUAAUUUUUGUAUUUUUAGUAGAGAUGGAGUUUCACCAUGUUGGCCAGGCUAGUCUGGAACUCCUGACCUCAAGUGAUUCACCCACCUCAGCCUCCCAAAGUGCUGGGAUUACAGGUGUGAGACACUGUGCCUGGCCCUGUUUUUUAUUUUAUUUUUAUUUAUUUAUUUUUUUUUGAGACAGGGUCUCACUCUGUGGCUCAGGCUGGAGGGCCAGUGGUGUGAUCUCCGCUCACUGCAACCUCCACCUCCCAGGCUCAAGUGAUUCUCCCACCUCAGCCUUGCAAGUAGGCGUGCACCACCAUGCCCAGCUAAUUUUUGUAUUUUUUGGUAGAGGCAGGGUUUCACCAUGUUGG
This 2363-nucleotide long non-coding RNA is filed under the name Homo sapiens (human). RNAcentral's name for it is "non-protein coding lnc-JHY-6:1". The record is from RNAcentral. Lineage: Eukaryota; Metazoa; Chordata; Mammalia; Primates; Hominidae.